GCUUUCGUGGUGUAACGGUUAGCACACUCGGCGCGUAACGAGAGGUCCAGGUUCGAAUCCUAGCGAGAGUA
RNAcentral lists this transfer RNA (71 nucleotides) under Stegodyphus mimosarum. It matches the Rfam family "tRNA". From Rfam's summary of the family: Transfer RNA (tRNA) molecules are approximately 80 nucleotides in length. The record is from Rfam by way of RNAcentral. Lineage: Eukaryota; Metazoa; Arthropoda; Arachnida; Araneae; Eresidae.